RNAcentral lists this ribosomal RNA (466 nucleotides) under uncultured bacterium. RNAcentral's name for it is "partial 16S ribosomal RNA". It matches the Rfam family "Bacterial small subunit ribosomal RNA", at positions 28 to 507 of the family's 1533-position model. The record is from RNAcentral.
GACGAACGCUGGCGGCGCGCCUAACACAUGCAAGUCGAACGAGCGAGAGAGAGCUUGCUUUCUCAAGCGAGUGGCGAACGGGUGAGUAACGCGUGAGGAACCUGCCUCAAAGAGGGGGACAACAGUUGGAAACGACUGCUAAUACCGCAUAAGCCCACAGGUCGGCAUCGACCAGAGGGAAAAGGAGCAAUCCGCUUUGAGAUGGCCUCGCGUCCGAUUAGCUAGUUGGUGAGGUAACGGCCCACCAAGGCAACGAUCGGUAGCCGGACUGAGAGGUUGAACGGCCACAAUGGGACUGAGACACGGCCCAGACUCCUACGGGAGGGAGGAGUGGGGAAUAUUGCACAAUGGGGGAAACCCUGAUGCAGCGACGCCGCGUGGAGGAAGAAGGUCUUCGGAUUGUAAACUCCUGUUGUUGAGGAAGAUAAUGACGGUACUCAACAAGGAAGUGACGGCUAACUACGUG